CUGCCCCAAGUGACAUAUCAGAGACCAGAGAUUUGACUCCUUCACACCUAAGUCAGUGGGACAAGAUGGCAGUAGCAUURUUAACCCAGGUGCAAAGGCCCAGGCUCUGCCAGUGACCUUUCCUAGGGCUCAUCUGGAAUUCAGGAAAUGGCUUGCCUUAUGUCCCUCCUUGAUGGGGAGAUUUUAUAAAAAAAAAAACAAAAACCAAUUAAAAAGCCUCUGCCAGAAGGAUGUCAAAAGCCUUACUGCAAACACUCAGAAGGGCUGGUGCCCUCAAGGGCUCUCAAUGAACAAUGCUGCAGGAAUUAAUCCGGGAUCCGUGGGCACACCGCCGAGGACAAAGGUGUUGAGGAAUACAUCAGUUGUUGAGAUGAGAAGAUGAAUCUCAAGUUACAUGCCCUAUAAAUUGGACCAUUUAAAGAGCCUUUCUUAAUUCACACCAGAGCUGCUAGGACUCUACACUGGAGAGUAAACCAGCCUGGUUUACCUUUGGCUUUAAAUGAUGCUGUCUGCACAGAUGCACAAAAUCUUAGCAGUAGCCUUUUUCCUGCUCCCAUUUUGUGCUCAAGGUAAACCUGCAGGACUUCUUUCACGGUUCCCUUUUUUUGGAGAUGGGAGAGAUG
Long non-coding RNA from Malurus melanocephalus (red-backed fairy wren), 623 nucleotides. RefSeq lists it as uncharacterized. The transcript has 5 exons. NCBI's taxonomy places the organism in Eukaryota, Metazoa, Chordata, Aves, Passeriformes, Maluridae. The record is from RefSeq and is a predicted model, not a curated record.